RNAcentral lists this ribosomal RNA (404 nucleotides) under uncultured bacterium. RNAcentral describes it as "bacterial SSU rRNA". It matches the Rfam family "Bacterial small subunit ribosomal RNA", at positions 355 to 775 of the family's 1533-position model. The record is from RNAcentral.
UAGGGAAUAUUGCAUAAUGGGCGAAAGCCUGAUGCAGCAACGCCGCGUGUGCGAUGAAGGCCUUCGGGUUGUAAAGCACUUUUGACCGGGAAGAGGAAGGACGGUACCGGUCGAAUAAGCCUCGGCUAACUACGUGCCAGCAGCCGCGGUAAAACGUAGGAGGCGAGCGUUAUCCGGAUUUACUGGGUGUAAAGCGCGUGCAGGCGGUAGGCUAAGUUGGGUGUGAAAGCUCCUGGCUCAACUAGGAGAGGUCGCUCAAGACUGGCCAACUGGAGAGCAGUAAGGGAAGGUGGAAUUCCGGGUGUAGUGGUGAAAUGCGUAGAUAUCCGGAGGAACACCAGUGGCGAAAGCGGCCUUCUGGACUGCAUCUGACGCUCAGACGCGAAAGCUAGGGGAGCAAACGG